ACGGGAGGCAGCAGUGGGGAAUAUUGGGCAAUGGGCGAAGGCCUGACCCAGCGACGCCGCGUGAGGGAAGACGGUCUUCGGAUUGUAAACCUCUUUCAGCAGGGAAGAAGUAAGUGACGGUACCUGCAGAAGAAGUCACGGCUAACUACGUGCCAGCAGCCGCGGUAAUACGUAGGUGGCGAGCGUUAUCCGGAAUUACUGGGUGUAAAGGGUGUGUAGGCGGGGAAGCAAGUCAGGUGUGAAAAUUUUGGGCUCAACCCAGGACGUGCACUUGAAACUGUUUUUCUUGAGAGUGGGAGAGGUAAACGGAAUUCCUGGUGUAGUAGUGAAAUGCGUAGAUAUCAGGAGGAACACCGGUGGCGAAGGCGGUUUACUGGACCACAACUGACGCUGAGACACGAAAGCGUGGGGAGCAAACAGGAUUAGAUACCCUGGUA
This 437-nucleotide ribosomal RNA is filed under the name uncultured Oscillospiraceae bacterium. RNAcentral's name for it is "bacterial SSU rRNA". It matches the Rfam family "Bacterial small subunit ribosomal RNA", at positions 341 to 792 of the family's 1533-position model. The record is from RNAcentral. Lineage: Bacteria; Bacillati; Bacillota; Clostridia; Eubacteriales; Oscillospiraceae.